GACGAACGCUGGCGGCGUGCUUAACACAUGCAAGUCGAACGGAAAGGCCCUGCUUUUGUGGGGUGCUCGAGUGGCGAACGGGUGAGUAACACGUGAGUAACCUGCCCUUGACUUUGGGAUAACUUCAGGAAACUGGGGCUAAUACCGGAUAGGAGCGCCUGCUGCAUGGUGGGGGUUGGAAAGUUUCGGCGGUUGGGGAUGGACUCGCGGCUUAUCAGCUUGUUGGUGGGGUAGUGGCUUACCAAGGCUUUGACGGGUAGCCGGCCUGAGAGGGUGACCGGCCACAUUGGGACUGAGAUACGGCCCAGACUCGUACGGGAGGCAGCAGUGGGGAAUAUUGCACAAUGGGCGGAAGCCUGAUGCAGCAACGCCGCGUGCGGGAUGACGGCCUUCGUGUUGGAAACCGCUUUCGCCGGUGACGGAGCGUGAGUGACGGUAAUGGGUAAAGAAGCACCGGCUAACUACGUG
RNAcentral lists this ribosomal RNA (468 nucleotides) under uncultured bacterium. RNAcentral's name for it is "partial 16S ribosomal RNA". It matches the Rfam family "Bacterial small subunit ribosomal RNA", at positions 28 to 507 of the family's 1533-position model. The record is from RNAcentral.